Molecule: small nucleolar RNA, 71 nt
Filed under: Sinocyclocheilus grahami
Lineage: Eukaryota; Metazoa; Chordata; Actinopteri; Cypriniformes; Cyprinidae
Description: Small nucleolar RNA SNORD24 (ENSSGRG00000016904.1)
Rfam family: Small nucleolar RNA SNORD24
About the family: U24 is a member of the C/D class of snoRNA which contain the C (UGAUGA) and D (CUGA) box motifs. C/D box snoRNAs have been shown to act as methylation guides for a number of RNA targets.
Source: Rfam by way of RNAcentral
UGCAGAUGAUGUGAGAAUAUUUGCUAUCUGAACAGCAAUGCAGACAAUCUUCCACCAAGAUCACUGAUGCA